This 506-nucleotide ribosomal RNA is filed under the name uncultured bacterium. Its description in RNAcentral is "partial 16S ribosomal RNA". It matches the Rfam family "Bacterial small subunit ribosomal RNA", at positions 28 to 523 of the family's 1533-position model. The record is from RNAcentral.
GAUGAACGCUAGCGGCAGGCCUAAUACAUGCAAGUCGGACGGGAUCCGUCGGAGGGCUGGCUCGAAGACGGUGAGAGUGGCGCACGGGUGCGUAACGCGUGAGCAACCUACCUCUAUCAGGGGGAUAGCCUCUCUAAGGAGAGAUUAACACCGCAUAAUAUAUGCGACGGGCAUCGGUUGGACAUUCAAUAUUUAUAGGAUCGAGUUGGGCUCGCGUGACAGUAGCUAGUUGGUCGGGUAACGGCUUACCAAGGCGACGAUGUUCAGGGGAUCUGACAGGAGAAUCCCCCACACUGGUACUGAGACCCGGACCAGACUCCUACGGGAGGCAGCAGUAAGGAAUAUUGGUCAAUGGGCGGAAGCCUGAACCAGCCAUGCCGCGUGCAGGAUGACUGCCCUAUGGGUUGUAAACUGCUUUUGUCCAGGAAUAAACCUUUCUACGUGUAGGGAGCUGAAUGUACUGGAAGAAUAAGGAUCGGCUAACUCCGUGCCAGCAGCCGCCGUAA